GCGGCGGUUGGGCGGAAGACCAGGAAGGCGGAGCGGCGGACGGGUGGAGCGGAUGGUCGGAACGGCGGCGGCAGUGACAACAGCGGGCGGCGGCGACGAUCGAUGGCGGCGGGAAAUGAUGAGCGGCGGAUGGUGGAUUGAAAUGAGGCCUCUCUUGCCACAAUUUUCUACCCCUCUCCUCCUCGUCGUCCCCACCAUAUCCCUCCCCACCCCCCCGCCCCCCCAUCCGCGCGUCGCCGCCCGCCUACCCACCCGAUCGAUCGCUCGCCGGCGCCGCCUGAUUGCGCCCAGCCCGGUCGCCUGCAUUCGUCGGGGAAGGCACGUCGCUCAUCCGCGCUCGCCCCUUCCUUAGUCUUCUUGUUAGAGAUAUUUUAAUCCUCAAUGAUUCCGCCGUGUUCGUAUCUUUUUCCUCCCCAGUUCUCUGUUCUUCUCCCCCUUCCAGAUGAUGGUUUGGGAUCGGGAUUUCAACGAUUCUCAUGCCUUUUCGUUUUAAUAUUAAUUUUCAAUCAUCUUCACACGUAAAGCUACUCCGAACAUCUCAUUCGUCGUCUACCUUCGUGAUGCUUGCAGCACUGGGGAUUCUGGUCCUCUCUGGCCUCUUGUUGCUUGCUACCUGUCCUUCUUCCGGUAGCGAGGACUCACAGCAGCUUGGGCCUUAACAAGAAUGAAACCUUCGAUUAUCUCGACGAGCUUUCAAUGGGAAACAUCAAGGUACGGAUCGGAUUAUCCCAUCUCAGCACCGACGAUGAAGGUUUCUUCGUAGUCAUCCCCGGACGCGGGGGAUGUCUCUCACCAGCAGGGCCACGUCCUGGGGCUUCGCCUCCGAGCUCGCCUUGGCGGCGGUUCUCACACGACGUAGAAUGCGACGAAAGAAACGCACCCACCCAGUACGUCGCCAGAAGAAAUGCCCACAACCCUGGACUCUUCUCCUGAGAAUGAUAACAAAAAAAAAAGAAUUCAGUUCUUAUGAAAGAGAUCCGGAAGAAUUUCUUCCUUCAGGAAAAUGCUCAGCAUGGGACUAUAACUUUAAUCUUAAUCAGUUCGAGCAUGAUUACCGCGUUAUAAUUCAACGAGAAACGUCACUCGAUGGAUAUUUUGGCACCCAUUAUGAACAAGAAGUUCAGAUAAUACCUCAUCAGUCCAGGACAUUAGUAAUCAGCGUUCGUUAUUUAGGGGGAAUGAUAUCCUGAAAGGUCUCAUAAUGUUGUUCUUUAAUCUUCUUGAUAGGAGGCAUUUCGUCUGAAGUCAGCA
Molecule: long non-coding RNA, 1251 nt
Filed under: Spirodela polyrhiza (greater duckweed)
Lineage: Eukaryota; Viridiplantae; Streptophyta; Magnoliopsida; Alismatales; Araceae
Description: long non-coding RNA (SPOL_LNC002502)
Source: RNAcentral